Molecule: long non-coding RNA, 275 nt
Organism: Mustela erminea (ermine)
Lineage: Eukaryota; Metazoa; Chordata; Mammalia; Carnivora; Mustelidae
Exons: 3
Source: RefSeq, a predicted model, not a curated record
CAGGUGAUUGGAAUACCUGAGAACUUUGGGAACCAGUGCCUCAAAACAUCUUGAAAUGCAGGAGAGAGGUUCUGAACUGAUCAUUUUUAUUCAGGCAUCAUUAAAUCUUCCUUCAAUUCCAUUGCUGAAAUAGGAGGCACAACCAUUUAAAUUAACAACAAAUAAGCCAUAUUUUCUUCUGUAAAAAGAAGAAGUUCAGAAUUUCUCCAAGAACACAUAUAAAGCACCGGUUCCCAUGAAAAGGCAGUGUUUGCUCAACUUCUUCAGUCUAGAGG